UCUGGUUGAUCCUGCCGGAGGCUACCGCUAUUGGAGUUCGAUUAAGCCAUGCGAGUCGCGAGAAAUUAGAUUCUCGGCGUACCGCUCAGUAACACGUGGGUAACCUGCCCUAUGCUGGAUAAUAACCUCGGGAAACUGAGAAUAAUGAUCCAUAGUUCACUACGCCUGGAACGGUGAGUGGAUGAAAGCUCCGGCGGCAUAGGAUGGGCCUGCGGCGUAUCAGGUUGUAGGGGGUGUAACGUACCCUCUAGCCCUCUACGCGUACGGGUGUUGGGAGACAUAGCCCGGAGAUGGAUUCUGAGACACGAAUCCAGACCCUACGGGGUGCAGCAGGCGCGAAAACUUGGCAAUGCGAGAAAUCGUGACCAGGGAACUCCAAGUGCAUCGGGUAAGACCGGUGCUUUUCUUGACUCUAAAAAGGUCUUGGAAUAAGGGGUGGGUAAGGACGGUGCCAGCCGCCGCGGUAAUACCGGCGCCUCAAGUGGUAGUCGCUUUUAUUGGGCCUAAAACGUCCGUAGCCGGUCUGAUACAUUCGUGGGUAAAUCAACCAGCUCAACUGGUUGAAUUCUGCGAGGACGGUCAGACUUGGGACCGGGAGAGGUGUGGGGUACGCUCAGGGUAGGGGUAAAAUCCUGUCAUCCUGAGCGGACCACCUGUUGCGAAGGCGCCACACUAGAACGGAUCCGACGGUCAGGGACGAAGCCUAGGGGCACGAACCGGAUUAGAUACCCGGGUAGUCCUAGGUGUAAACGCUGUGGACUUGAUG
Molecule: ribosomal RNA, 766 nt
Filed under: uncultured Candidatus Poseidoniales archaeon
Lineage: Archaea; Methanobacteriati; Thermoplasmatota; Candidatus Poseidoniia; Candidatus Poseidoniales
Description: bacterial SSU rRNA
Rfam family: Archaeal small subunit ribosomal RNA
Source: RNAcentral